RNAcentral lists this ribosomal RNA (253 nucleotides) under uncultured bacterium. RNAcentral's name for it is "partial 16S ribosomal RNA". It matches the Rfam family "Bacterial small subunit ribosomal RNA", at positions 524 to 776 of the family's 1533-position model. The record is from RNAcentral.
UACGUAGGGUGCAAGCGUUGUCCGGAAUUAUUGGGCGUAAAGGGCUCGUAGGCGGUUUGUCACGUCGGGAGUGAAAACUCGGGGCUUAACCCCGGGCCUGCUUCCGAUACGGGCAGACUAGAGGUAUGCAGGGGAGAACGGAAUUCCUGGUGUAGCGGUGAAAUGCGUAGAUAUCGGAAGGAACAUCAGUGGCGAAAGCGGCUUCCUGGACCAGCACCGACGUUCAGGCACGAAAGCGUGGGGAGCAAACAGG